Molecule: ribosomal RNA, 1461 nt
Filed under: Brevibacterium ammoniilyticum
Lineage: Bacteria; Bacillati; Actinomycetota; Actinomycetes; Micrococcales; Brevibacteriaceae
Description: bacterial SSU rRNA
Rfam family: Bacterial small subunit ribosomal RNA
Source: RNAcentral
GCUCAGGACGAACGCUGGCUGCGUGCUUAACACAUGCAAGUCGAACGCUGAAGCCCCAGCUUGCUGGGGUGGAUGAGUGGCGAACGGGUGAGUAACACGUGAGUAACCUGCCCCUGACUUCGGGAUAAGCCCGGGAAACUGGGUCUAAUACCGGAUACGACUGCCGGACGCAUGUCUGGUGGUGGAAAGUUUUUUCGGUUGGGGAUGGGCUCGCGGCCUAUCAGUUUGUUGGUGAGGUAAUGGCUCACCAAGACGACGACGGGUAGCCGGCCUGAGAGGGCGACCGGCCACACUGGGACUGAGACACGGCCCAGACUCCUACGGGAGGCAGCAGUGGGGAAUAUUGCACAAUGGGGGAAACCCUGAUGCAGCGACGCAGCGUGCGGGAUGACGGCCUUCGGGUUGUAAACCGCUUUCAGCAGGGAAGAAGCCUUCGGGUGACGGUACCUGCAGAAGAAGUACCGGCUAACUACGUGCCAGCAGCCGCGGUAAUACGUAGGGUACGAGCGUUGUCCGGAAUUAUUGGGCGUAAAGAGCUCGUAGGUGGUUGGUCACGUCUGCUGUGGAAACGCAACGCUUAACGUUGCGCGUGCAGUGGGUACGGGCUGACUAGAGUGCAGUAGGGGAGUCUGGAAUUCCUGGUGUAGCGGUGAAAUGCGCAGAUAUCAGGAGGAACACCGGUGGCGAAGGCGGGACUCUGGGCUGUAACUGACACUGAGGAGCGAAAGCAUGGGGAGCGAACAGGAUUAGAUACCCUGGUAGUCCAUGCCGUAAACGUUGGGCACUAGGUGUGGGGGGCAUUCCACGUUCUCCGCGCCGUAGCUAACGCAUUAAGUGCCCCGCCUGGGGAGUACGGUCGCAAGGCUAAAACUCAAAGGAAUUGACGGGGGCCCGCACAAGCGGCGGAGCAUGCGGAUUAAUUCGAUGCAACGCGAAGAACCUUACCAAGGCUUGACAUACACCAGACCGGUCUGGAAACAGGUCUUCCCCUUUGGGGUUGGUGUACAGGUGGUGCAUGGUUGUCGUCAGCUCGUGUCGUGAGAUGUUGGGUUAAGUCCCGCAACGAGCGCAACCCUCGUUCUAUGUUGCCAGCACGUGAUGGUGGGAACUCAUAGGAGACUGCCGGGGUCAACUCGGAGGAAGGUGGGGAUGACGUCAAAUCAUCAUGCCCUUUAUGUCUUGGGCUUCACGCAUGCUACAAUGGCUGGUACAGAGAGAGGCGAACCCGUGAGGGCAAGCGAAUCCCUUAAAGCCAGUCUCAGUUCGGAUCGUAGUCUGCAAUUCGACUACGUGAAGUCGGAGUCGCUAGUAAUCGCAGAUCAGCAACGCUGCGGUGAAUACGUUCCCGGGCCUUGUACACACCGCCCGUCAAGUCACGAAAGUCGGUAACACCCGAAGCCGGUGGCCUAACCCCUUGUGGGAGGGGGCCGUCUAAGGUGGGACUGGUGAUUGGGACUAAUC